Molecule: ribosomal RNA, 459 nt
Filed under: uncultured bacterium
Lineage: Bacteria
Description: partial 16S ribosomal RNA
Rfam family: Bacterial small subunit ribosomal RNA
Source: RNAcentral
CCUACGGGAGGCAGCAGUGAGGAAUAUUGGUCAAUGGGCGAGAGCCUGAACCAGCCAAGUCGCGUGAGGGAAGACGGCCCUAUGGGUUGUAAACCUCUUUUGUCGGGGAGCAAAAGCCGGGACGUGUCCCGGUCCGAGAGUAUCCGAAGAAAAAGCAUCGGCUAACUCCGUGCCAGCAGCCGCGGUAAUACGGAGGAUGCGAGCGUUAUCCGGAUUUAUUGGGUUUAAAGGGUGCGUAGGCGGACCGUUAAGUCAGCGGUAAAAUUGCGGGGCUCAACCCCGUCGAGCCGUUGAAACUGGUUGUCUUGAGUGGGCGAGAAGUACGCGGAAUGCGUGGUGUAGCGGUGAAAUGCAUAGAUAUCGCGCAGAACUCCGAUUGCGAAGGCAGCAUACCGGCGCCAAACUGACGCUGAGGCACGAAAGUGUGGGGAUCGAACAGGAUUAGAUACCCGAGUAGUC